RNAcentral lists this long non-coding RNA (882 nucleotides) under Gossypium barbadense (sea-island cotton). RNAcentral describes it as "long non-coding RNA (GBAR_LNC015006)". Lineage: Eukaryota; Viridiplantae; Streptophyta; Magnoliopsida; Malvales; Malvaceae. The record is from RNAcentral.
AAAAAAGCCUCUGAAAACUUCAAAAAAGCUCUCCCCCCUUCUGGUCGUUCGGUCAACGGUUGGUCACCGGCCACCGCGCCGGCCGCCGCACCGUCUGCGGUGGCCGGAAAAGGGGAAAAAUUCCCCAUUCAGCCUUUUAGACCCCCCUAUGCCCAAAUCUGGGCUCAAAUCCGUCGAAAUAAAAGCAGAGACGCCUCAAAAACCCAAGAAACCUUUCGGUUUCCGACCGCCUUUCCUCGGAGACGGCUACCUCGAAUGCUCACGGCGGUUUAGGCUCCAAACGCAGGUUGUUUCUUUCCUUUCCUUAUAUGUUUUAGUAAAAUAAAAAUAUAAACGCAGAACACAACAAAUCAAAGUAAACAAAAAAAAAAUAAUAUAGACCUUUGAAUUGAUUCUCCGCUUUCAAUAUGUUGAACUCUCUGUUUGUGUAAGAAUAAUUAUUUUUUAUUUGAUUUCCCCCUCUCUCUUACAAUAUUACCAUGGCUAUUUUAUAGCCGUAUGAAAUAAAUUUAAAGAGGAAGCAAAUCUGUUUCUUGAUUUGAUUUACAAAUCUUUUGAUUAGCUUUCUAUUUUCGUUUUUUCCUUGAUGCGCAGGUGAAGAUCCACGGAGAUUCGGAGCUUGGCUUGCGGCGCUGUUGAAACCCUAGGGUUUCUGUCUGUAAUUUGGGCCAUCGUAGUUUGGGCCCUCGUUUGUUUUAUUAAUUGGGCCAUAUGGGCCUAUUUGUAAUGCCGGUCUUUUAGACCCAAGCAAAAUCCGGCAUGUACAUUGACAUGAACAAGACAUGCAAUAAGAUUAACUGAAACUUUGUCAAAUGUGUAUUGUCCUUCAUGGGUUUUAGUGAGAGAUGGAUUGAUUUCAUUAUGUCGUGUUUUUCAUCAAUG